This 1340-nucleotide ribosomal RNA is filed under the name uncultured marine archaeon. RNAcentral's name for it is "bacterial SSU rRNA". It matches the Rfam family "Archaeal small subunit ribosomal RNA". The record is from RNAcentral.
CCGGUUGAUCCUGCCAGAGGCGACCGCUAUUGGAGUUCGAUUAAGCCAUGCGAGUAGAAAGAAAUUAGAUUCUUUGCAUACUGCUCAGUAACACGUGGAUAACCUGCCCUACACUGGGGGAUAAUCUCGGGAAACUGAGCAUAAUACCCCAUAGACCACUACGCCUGGAACGGUGAGUGGUUGAAAGCUUCGGCGGUGUAGGAUGGGUCUGCGGCGUAUCAGGUUGUAGGGGGUGUAAUGGACCUCCUAGCCAUCGACGCGUACGGGUUGUGGGAGCAAUAGCCCGGAGACGGAUUCUGAGACACGAAUCCGGACCCUACGGGAUGCAGCAGGCGCGAAAACUUCACACUGCAGGAAACUGUGAUGAGGGAACUCCAAGUGACUGCACAAUGUGUAGCCUUUUCUUGAAUUUUAAUAGUUCUUGGAAUAAGGGCUGGGAAAGACCGGCGCCCCCCGCCCGCGGUAAUACCGGCAGCUCGAGUGGUCGUCGCUUUUAUUGGGCCUAAAACGUCCGUAGCCUGUUUGGUAAAUCUGUGGGUAAAUCAAUCCGCUUAACGGAUUGAAUUCUGCAGAGACUGCCAGACUAGGGACCGGGAGAGGUAUGAGGUACUCUGGGGGUAGGGGUAAAAUCCUGUCAUCCUCAGAGGACCACCCUGUUGCGAAGGCGUCAUACUGGAACGGAUCCGACGGUCAGGGACGAAGCCUAGGGGCACGAACCGGAUUAGAUACCCGGGUAGUCCUAGGUGUAAACGCUGUGGAUUUGGUGUGUGGGGUCCGCAAUGGGCCCCAUGUGCCGGAGUGAAGAUGUUAAAUCCACUGCCUGGGGAGUACGGUCGCAAGGCUGAAACUUAAAGGAAUUGGCGGGGGAGCACUGCAACGGGAGGAGCGUGCGGUUUAAUUGGAUUCAACGCCGGAAAACUCACCAAGGCCGACUGUUAGAUGAAGAUCAGCGUAACGAGCUUAUUGGAUUAUCAGAGAGGUGGUGCAUGGCCGUCGUCAGUUCGUACUGUAAAGCGUUCUGUUAAGUCAGAUAACGAACGAGACCCGCAUCCUUAUUUGCGACCCUCAUGUCCGCAUGAGGCGCACCAUAGGGAGAUCGCUGGUGUGAAACCAGAUGAGAGCGCGGGCAACGACAGGUCAGUAUGCCCCGAAUGUCUUGGGCUACACGCGCGCUACAAAGGACAGGACAAUGGGAAGCCACGCCGAGAGGCGGCGCUACCCCGAAACCUGUUCGUAGUUCGGAUCGAGGGCUGUAACUCGCCCUCGUGAAGCUGGAUUCCGUAGUAAUCGUGUUUCAACAUAGCACGGUGAAUAUGCCCCUGCUCCUUGCACACACCGCC